Long non-coding RNA from Corythoichthys intestinalis (scribbled pipefish), 1465 nucleotides. RefSeq lists it as uncharacterized. The transcript is spliced from 3 exons. The record is from RefSeq and is a predicted model, not a curated record. NCBI's taxonomy places the organism in Eukaryota, Metazoa, Chordata, Actinopteri, Syngnathiformes, Syngnathidae.
GAGGACAUUUUGUGUUGCCCAUGCAGUCUGCUUUAGUCAUCAGCCUCGUGUUUGUUGUCUCUGUCGCCGUUUUCUCAUUCUGAAUCUUCCUCUUCUUCCAAAUAUGGCUCAAACAUAUUAGGCUGUAAGUCACAUGCUUUCUCUAGAUCAACAAUAUCGCUUGGAAAAUCCACACUUAUGACCGGAGGAGCUAAAUGACAGCUUUAAUUAAAUGAAUUCAAUUAAUUAAAUAAAUUUAAAUAAUUCAUUUAAAGAGCAUUUCUUGUCAUCUGCGCUUUGCCAAAUUGUUGUAUAUAGUUGAAACGUCUCUAUAUACAGUGGGGCAAAUAAGUAUUUAGUCAACCACUAAUUGUGCAAGUUCUCCCACUUGAAAAUAUUAGAGACGCCUGUAAUUGUCAACAUGGGUAAACCUCAACAGUAGGAGACAGAAUGUGGAAAAAAAAAACAGAAAAUCACAUUGUUUUAUUUUUAAAGAAUUUAUUUGGAAAUCACGGUGGAAAAUAAGUAUUUGGUCUAUACCAAAAGUUCAUCUCAAUACUUUGUUUUGUACCCUUUGUUGGCAAUAACGGAGGCCAAACGUUUUCUGUACUUCUUCACAGGCUUUUCACACACUCUUUUGCACAAUUAGUAGUUGACUAAAUACUUAUUUGCCUUAUUAAUUCAAAUAAUAAUGCUAUUUAAGAUUUCAGUUUUGGUGUCAUUUACACUUUAAAGGGGAACUGAAGAGCUUUUCAGAUUUCGCUCGUGUUUUACUCAGUUGAAUUGUAUUAAAUGCGUCAUUCGCUCUCUCAAAAAGUCACAUAAAAGAAAAAAAAAAAAAAAUUGACCACGUAGUUUUUGAGUUAUGGCCAUAGCAACACCAUAGCAAUGAGGGACGCGCCGUCCUGCCGACCCCUACCUCGUGACGUAACUUCCAGGAAGCCUCGCCACCACUCUGAACACGGAAAUAUAGCACCACGCUAUCCUCGCCAUAUAUUGCAAACAUUUUCUGGGUUUUACUCGCGGGAUUCGUCAUGCCAUCUCGAUGUGUAGCGAUAUGAAUUACUCACAGGAAGACUCCAGACUCUAGGAGUGGUCAAAAAAAAACUUCUCCUGCAAAGCCACGACAGCUUUGAAAACCUACAACAAUGCAACCUUGGUUUUCCAAAGACGAAGCCAAACAUAAAAAAAUAAGUGGCGGAAACCCUCAACACGAUGAAAAAAGCGUUGCAAGUCAGUUGCCACCCAGUUUCCCAAAAUCAAGAGAGAGUGGGUCGAGUCAUAUGAUGACCGAAGUGAUGCGGUGUCCAGCGAUGACGACUGAAGAGAUCCUAUGAGGCCUGCCAGAUGCUGAAUUUCUUCCGUCUGCGACAUCAGAUGACGAUGAUUUAGGAGAAAUAAAUGUAGCAAAUUUUGAUGACAUGAAAUCAUAAACUAGUCAUAUAUACAGUACACAUUUUUUAAAAGAAAAAUCAAGUUACCUUCA